GGGGUUGUAGCUCAGUGGUAGAGAGAGCACUUGCCUUGCAUGCAUGAGGCACUGGAUUCAAUCCUCAGCACCACA
This 75-nucleotide transfer RNA is filed under the name Marmota monax (woodchuck). RNAcentral describes it as "tRNA.Ala". It matches the Rfam family "tRNA". Rfam says of the family: Transfer RNA (tRNA) molecules are approximately 80 nucleotides in length. The record is from RNAcentral. Lineage: Eukaryota; Metazoa; Chordata; Mammalia; Rodentia; Sciuridae.